Molecule: long non-coding RNA, 909 nt
Organism: Meriones unguiculatus (Mongolian gerbil)
Lineage: Eukaryota; Metazoa; Chordata; Mammalia; Rodentia; Muridae
Exons: 2
Source: RefSeq, a predicted model, not a curated record
GGACUGGGAUUUGAAUCCCACCACUCCCUGGCAUUUCCCAAGGGCCGCACACUUGCUCUCAGGGCCCUGGGCCUCCAGCUCUCCGUACCUGGCCCUGGUUGAUGGCAGCGUGCUGGGAAGUGCACGUGAAGACACACAUGAGACUUAGAGCCCCUCAGGUGCAAAAUGGAGAACAAAUGAGGUCCUGAGCUGGGCAAGGUGGCACAUGCCUACAACCCCAGGACUUGGGCGGUUGAGGCAGGAGGAGCAUGAGUUCAAGGCCAGCCUCCACCUCAUAGUAAGUCUGAGGCCCAGCUAAGCGAAAUGACCAUGUUUGAAAACAACAAAGUCCCAAGUUCACCUCACGCCAAUCACUUUACAGUGCUCAUGGUGCUCAUGGGAGCUUUGCGUUGAGCCGGUGCGUGUAUAAUUCCACCUGUUUCCUAGAUAAGAAAUGAAAGCCGGGAGAUUAAAGCACUUGUCAAGAUGGCCCGGUGUGGGGUGGCGGGGAGCAGAGGCUGGCUUUGAACUUGGGUUCCUGGCUGCUUUUCCAUUACUUUAAUUCCAGCAUGCUUCCUCCAAACUUAGGCAAAGAUGAGCUGUGAGAGCCGAGAGAGGAAGAGAGCCGAGAGAGGAAGGCCUGCAAAGCUGCUUGAGGAGGCUAGAUUAUGGUGUGACGGCUGUUUGUAUUCCCACUCCCAAGUUAGUAUUUUGAAAUUAUUCACCAGCGAGGACAUGAGGAGUCUUUGGGAGGAUAUGCGGUCAUGAGGGUGAGUGAUGGCGGUGUCCUUGGGAGAGAGGUCGUGGGCCCAUGAAAGUCACCCCUGUGCAACCUGGAAUAGUGACCCCUGGAACCCAAACGUGCUAGCACCUGACCUCAGACUUUGAACCUGCAGAGUGAUGAGAAAUAAACUUCUGGUGUUUAAGCCA